Molecule: ribosomal RNA, 253 nt
Filed under: uncultured bacterium
Lineage: Bacteria
Description: partial 16S ribosomal RNA
Rfam family: Bacterial small subunit ribosomal RNA
Source: RNAcentral
UACGUAGGGGGCAAGCGUUGUCCGGAAUCAUUGGGCGUAAAGAGCGUGUAGGCGGCCCGAUAAGUCCGCCGUGAAAGUCCAGGGCUCAACCCUGGAAUGCCGGUGGAUACUGUCGGGCUAGAGUCCGGAAGGGGCGAGUGGAAUUCCUGGUGUAGCGGUGGAAUGCGCAGAUAUCAGGAGGAACACCAAUGGCGAAGGCAGAUCUCUGGGCCGUAACUGACGCUGAGGAGCGAAAGCAUGGGGAGCGAACAGG